GGAGGGGUGGCUCAGCAGUUAAGAGUACUGGAUGUCCUUCCAGAGGUCCUGAGUUCAAUUCCCAGCACCCACA
Mus musculus (house mouse) is the source of this 73-nucleotide non-coding RNA. Lineage: Eukaryota; Metazoa; Chordata; Mammalia; Rodentia; Muridae. The record is from Rfam.